UACGGAGGGUGCAAGCGUUAUCCGGAUUUACUGGGUUUAAAGGGUGCGUAGGAGGGCAGGUAAAUCAGUGGUGAAAUCCUAGAGCUUAACUCUAGAACUGCCGUUGAUACUAUCUGUCUUGAAUAUUGUGGAGGUGAGCGGAAUAUGUCAUGUAGCGGUGAAAUGCUUAGAUAUGACAUAGAACACCAAUUGCGAAGGCAGCUCGCUACACAUAUAUUGACUCUGAGGCACGAAAGCGUGGGGAUCAAACAGG
Molecule: ribosomal RNA, 253 nt
Filed under: uncultured bacterium
Lineage: Bacteria
Description: partial 16S ribosomal RNA
Rfam family: Bacterial small subunit ribosomal RNA
Source: RNAcentral